UNCGCCCAUAGGUAGUCUUCCCCAAACCUG
Molecule: non-coding RNA, 30 nt
Filed under: Mus musculus (house mouse)
Lineage: Eukaryota; Metazoa; Chordata; Mammalia; Rodentia; Muridae
Source: RNAcentral